GAUGAACGCUGGCGGUAUGCUUAACACAUGCAAGUCGAACGGACUCUUCGGAGUUAGUGGCGGACGGGUGAGUAACGCGUGAGAAUCUGGCUUUGGGUUCGGGACAACCACUGGAAACGGUGGCUAAUACCGGAUGUGCCGAGAGGUAAAAGAGAAAUGGCCUGAAGAUGAGCUCGCGUCUGAUUAGCUAGUUGGUGAGGUAAAGGCUCACCAAGGCAGCGAUCAGUAGCUGGUCUGAGAGGAUGACCAGCCACACUGGGACUGAGACACGGCCCAGACUCCUGCGGGAGGCAGCAGUGGGGAAUUUUCCGCAAUGGGCGAAAGCCUGACGGAGCAAUAGCGCGUGAGGGAAGAAGGUUCUUGGGUUGUAAACCUCUUUUCUUAGGGAAGAACAAAAUGACGGUACCUAAGGAAGCAGCAUCGGCUAACUCCGUG
RNAcentral lists this ribosomal RNA (435 nucleotides) under uncultured bacterium. RNAcentral describes it as "partial 16S ribosomal RNA". It matches the Rfam family "Bacterial small subunit ribosomal RNA", at positions 28 to 507 of the family's 1533-position model. The record is from RNAcentral.